RNAcentral lists this long non-coding RNA (726 nucleotides) under Olea europaea subsp. europaea. Lineage: Eukaryota; Viridiplantae; Streptophyta; Magnoliopsida; Lamiales; Oleaceae. The record is from RNAcentral.
CACAGGUAGUAAUUGGUCUGACAUCUUUUCAACUUUUAUUUCAUUGAAAUAAUGGUUAGCUGUCUGUUGUUAGCAUUUAAUUUGCCAAUACUUGGCCUUCCUCAUGGUUCCUCGUAGAGCUAUGUAAAGUUAAUUGGUUUGAGAAGUGAUAUGUUGGCAAAAAUGUUUUAAAAGUUGUUUCUUUAAGACAGAUGGCACUUAAAUCCUUUGGUUCUGCAUCCUUUUAUAAUAUUCAUGUGCAAGAGAAACUUCGCCCCAACCUUCCCAUCCUCCGAUAGGAAAAGAAAAAACAAAGAAUGAGGAGAAGGGGUAAAACAAGACUCAUGCUCUAAAGGGGUAAAAGGAAGGGGAAGCUUAACUAAUAUCAACUGUUUUAGUCUUCAGUAAUAUGUUUUGAACUUAUAUGGUACUGCACUGCAAAAAGUUGAGCAGGUCUAGAUCAUCAUGGAACGGUUCAAAUGGUGGUUCAUUUCGGACAAGUUUUCAGGAGGAAGCAUGGAAAAGAUAUAAUCGCCGAAUGCGGGAAGAGUAUGAAGAAGAGAUGGAAAGAGUGGUGAGAUUCUUUUUUACAAGAGUUUACUCUUUCUCCUGAUUGAAAUUUUAAUUUAAGAUUUUAUCUGCAAUGUUCAAAUCCUAUCAGUUUAUGCCAUUCAUAAAGAAUGUUGAUGUUUCAAUUUCUUUUAGUUUAGGAAACAUGAAGGUGUUUGGUAGGUGCGUGGAUAUGUG